CAGAGAACAUCCCCCGCUCAGGGCGACUCUCCAACCCAGUGUUAUUUCUGCCUUUGUUGCUUUGGCGGGCCGCCCCCGGCCACCGGCUCACGCUGGUGAGCGCCCGCCGGAGGACCCAACACCCUGAAUUUACAGUACCGUCUGAGCACCAUACAAUAGUUA
This 162-nucleotide unclassified non-coding RNA is filed under the name uncultured fungus. RNAcentral describes it as "sequence contains ITS1, 5.8S rRNA gene". Lineage: Eukaryota; Fungi. The record is from RNAcentral.